Molecule: ribosomal RNA, 119 nt
Filed under: Triticum aestivum (bread wheat)
Lineage: Eukaryota; Viridiplantae; Streptophyta; Magnoliopsida; Poales; Poaceae
Also listed under: 1 other name
Source: RNAcentral
GGAUGCGAUCAUACCAGCACUAAAGCACCGGAUCCCAUCAGAACUCCAAAGUUAAGCGUGCUUGGGCGAGAGUAGUACUUGGAUGGGUGACCUCCUGGGAAGUCCUCGUGUUCCAUUCC